RNAcentral lists this ribosomal RNA (2544 nucleotides) under Escherichia coli. Its description in RNAcentral is "partial 23S ribosomal RNA". It matches the Rfam family "Bacterial large subunit ribosomal RNA", at positions 419 to 2925 of the family's 2925-position model. The record is from RNAcentral. Lineage: Bacteria; Pseudomonadati; Pseudomonadota; Gammaproteobacteria; Enterobacterales; Enterobacteriaceae.
GGGACACGUGGUAUCCUGUCUGAAUAUGGGGGGACCAUCCUCCAAGGCUAAAUACUCCUGACUGACCGAUAGUGAACCAGUACCGUGAGGGAAAGGCGAAAAGAACCCCGGCGAGGGGAGUGAAAAAGAACCUGAAACCGUGUACGUACAAGCAGUGGGAGCACGCUUAGGCGUGUGACUGCGUACCUUUUGUAUAAUGGGUCAGCGACUUAUAUUCUGUAGCAAGGUUAACCGAAUAGGGGAGCCGAAGGGAAACCGAGUCUUAACUGGGCGUUAAGUUGCAGGGUAUAGACCCGAAACCCGGUGAUCUAGCCAUGGGCAGGUUGAAGGUUGGGUAACACUAACUGGAGGACCGAACCGACUAAUGUUGAAAAAUUAGCGGAUGACUUGUGGCUGGGGGUGAAAGGCCAAUCAAACCGGGAGAUAGCUGGUUCUCCCCGAAAGCUAUUUAGGUAGCGCCUCGUGAAUUCAUCUCCGGGGGUAGAGCACUGUUUCGGCAAGGGGGUCAUCCCGACUUACCAACCCGAUGCAAACUGCGAAUACCGGAGAAUGUUAUCACGGGAGACACACGGCGGGUGCUAACGUCCGUCGUGAAGAGGGAAACAACCCAGACCGCCAGCUAAGGUCCCAAAGUCAUGGUUAAGUGGGAAACGAUGUGGGAAGGCCCAGACAGCCAGGAUGUUGGCUUAGAAGCAGCCAUCAUUUAAAGAAAGCGUAAUAGCUCACUGGUCGAGUCGGCCUGCGCGGAAGAUGUAACGGGGCUAAACCAUGCACCGAAGCUGCGGCAGCGACGCUUAUGCGUUGUUGGGUAGGGGAGCGUUCUGUAAGCCUGUGAAGGUGUGCUGUGAGGCAUGCUGGAGGUAUCAGAAGUGCGAAUGCUGACAUAAGUAACGAUAAAGCGGGUGAAAAGCCCGCUCGCCGGAAGACCAAGGGUUCCUGUCCAACGUUAAUCGGGGCAGGGUGAGUCGACCCCUAAGGCGAGGCCGAAAGGCGUAGUCGAUGGGAAACAGGUUAAUAUUCCUGUACUUGGUGUUACUGCGAAGGGGGGACGGAGAAGGCUAUGUUGGCCGGGCGACGGUUGUCCCGGUUUAAGCGUGUAGGCUGGUUUUCCAGGCAAAUCCGGAAAAUCAAGGCUGAGGCGUGAUGACGAGGCACUACGGUGCUGAAGCAACAAAUGCCCUGCUUCCAGGAAAAGCCUCUAAGCAUCAGGUAACAUCAAAUCGUACCCCAAACCGACACAGGUGGUCAGGUAGAGAAUACCAAGGCGCUUGAGAGAACUCGGGUGAAGGAACUAGGCAAAAUGGUGCCGUAACUUCGGGAGAAGGCACGCUGAUAUGUAGGUGAAGCGACUUGCUCGUGGAGCUGAAAUCAGUCGAAGAUACCAGCUGGCUGCAACUGUUUAUUAAAAACACAGCACUGUGCAAACACGAAAGUGGACGUAUACGGUGUGACGCCUGCCCGGUGCCGGAAGGUUAAUUGAUGGGGUCAGCGCAAGCGAAGCUCUUGAUCGAAGCCCCGGUAAACGGCGGCCGUAACUAUAACGGUCCUAAGGUAGCGAAAUUCCUUGUCGGGUAAGUUCCGACCUGCACGAAUGGCGUAAUGAUGGCCAGGCUGUCUCCACCCGAGACUCAGUGAAAUUGAACUCGCUGUGAAGAUGCAGUGUACCCGCGGCAAGACGGAAAGACCCCGUGAACCUUUACUAUAGCUUGACACUGAACAUUGAGCCUUGAUGUGUAGGAUAGGUGGGAGGCUUAGAAGUGUGGACGCCAGUCUGCAUGGAGCCGACCUUGAAAUACCACCCUUUAAUGUUUGAUGUUCUAACGUUGACCCGUAAUCCGGGUUGCGGACAGUGUCUGGUGGGUAGUUUGACUGGGGCGGUCUCCUCCUAAAGAGUAACGGAGGAGCACGAAGGUUGGCUAAUCCUGGUCGGACAUCAGGAGGUUAGUGCAAUGGCAUAAGCCAGCUUGACUGCGAGCGUGACGGCGCGAGCAGGUGCGAAAGCAGGUCAUAGUGAUCCGGUGGUUCUGAAUGGAAGGGCCAUCGCUCAACGGAUAAAAGGUACUCCGGGGAUAACAGGCUGAUACCGCCCAAGAGUUCAUAUCGACGGCGGUGUUUGGCACCUCGAUGUCGGCUCAUCACAUCCUGGGGCUGAAGUAGGUCCCAAGGGUAUGGCUGUUCGCCAUUUAAAGUGGUACGCGAGCUGGGUUUAGAACGUCGUGAGACAGUUCGGUCCCUAUCUGCCGUGGGCGCUGGAGAACUGAGGGGGGCUGCUCCUAGUACGAGAGGACCGGAGUGGACGCAUCACUGGUGUUCGGGUUGUCAUGCCAAUGGCACUGCCCGGUAGCUAAAUGCGGAAGAGAUAAGUGCUGAAAGCAUCUAAGCACGAAACUUGCCCCGAGAUGAGUUCUCCCUGACUCCUUGAGAGUCCUGAAGGAACGUUGAAGACGACGACGUUGAUAGGCCGGGUGUGUAAGCGCAGCGAUGCGUUGAGCUAACCGGUACUAAUGAACCGUGAGGCUUAACCUUACAACGCCGAAGGUGUUU